RNAcentral lists this small nuclear RNA (105 nucleotides) under Myotis lucifugus (little brown bat). RNAcentral describes it as "U2 spliceosomal RNA". It matches the Rfam family "U2 spliceosomal RNA". Rfam says of the family: U2 is a small nuclear RNA (snRNA) component of the spliceosome (involved in pre-mRNA splicing). The record is from Rfam by way of RNAcentral. Lineage: Eukaryota; Metazoa; Chordata; Mammalia; Chiroptera; Vespertilionidae.
AUCGCUUCUCGGCCUUUUGGCUAAGAUCAAGUGUAGUAUCUGUUCUUAUCAGUUUAAAUAUGUACUUUUUUUCUCGAGGAUUCUAAAUUUCCUCUUAUAUCCUUU